This 414-nucleotide long non-coding RNA is filed under the name Prunus dulcis (almond). RNAcentral's name for it is "sRNA ncRNA". The record is from RNAcentral. Lineage: Eukaryota; Viridiplantae; Streptophyta; Magnoliopsida; Rosales; Rosaceae.
AUGGCUUGUUUCAAUGGAAGUUCGGUGGUGCUACUAAUCACCAUGACACUUUUCUUGCUCACCAUGACCCCCACGUCUGGUGCAGUGAAGACAAGGCAAGUGAGAGUCACAAGUGAGUUAGAGGGAGGCAAGCCCCUCACCGUUCACUGUAAAUCCAAGGACGAUGAUCUCGGCGUCCAUGUGCUCCAACCUAAGGGUUCAUAUGAAUUCAGCUUUAAACCUAAUAUCUUCAUCACAUCGACAUUAUUCUUCUGCAGUUUUGAAUGGCCAGGUGCAUUUCAUUGGUUCGAUAUAUAUGUUGACGCUAGAGAUAACAAAAUUUGUAGCAAAUGUCAUUGGGUUGUAUAUGAAGAUGGGCCAUGCAUGUAUAACUGGAGCGACCAACAGUAUAAUAUAUGCCAUACCUGGAAUUAA